AAUUAAUAAUUAAUUAUAAUUAUUAACCUUGAAAUUUGUUGUCCCUGUGAAUGGGUUUAAGACGCUUCUUUUCACUGAUAAUUUAUUUACCUGAAGAAACUUUUACCUAGCAACCACAAGACAGGCACUAAUUUCAUCAGUGCAGCGUCAUCUGGCAUUCCGUAGAUAACUUGGAAUCUAAAUAUUGCCUCCUGAAGAUCGUAUAUAGAAUUAUCAUUGUAGUUUUUAUACUCUUUUUAUUUCAAUUCAAAGGAACUGGUGAUCACAGAUCUUUUUAAUCAAUUUCAUGCGCGAAGAAAUGCUUCCAAAAAAGUGCUCGUUAUUUUGUUCUGGGACUCCCUGAGUUUACAGAGGUGUUAUGAUCAUGCCCCUGUGCGAUCCAUCCAGAUAAAUUCAUUUAUUAGUAGAUCAAAUAUUCGAGAAUUACAUGAUUUUCAGCCCAGACAGGUUCAGCUAAUAUCAUGAUCUACAUAAAGUAUACACACUUAUUCAAAUUAUCAAGUAAUAAAGAACCUGAAGCUUUAUGGAGCCAGAUUCCAAUUGAAAACUUCUUACUACUAAUCUGUAUUUAUUUAAAUGUAUUUUCGAGAACAAGUUUUAAAAUGAAA
Molecule: long non-coding RNA, 608 nt
Organism: Eurytemora carolleeae
Lineage: Eukaryota; Metazoa; Arthropoda; Copepoda; Calanoida; Temoridae
Exons: 2
Source: RefSeq, a predicted model, not a curated record